RNAcentral lists this ribosomal RNA (233 nucleotides) under uncultured bacterium. RNAcentral's name for it is "partial 16S ribosomal RNA". It matches the Rfam family "Bacterial small subunit ribosomal RNA", at positions 102 to 334 of the family's 1533-position model. The record is from RNAcentral.
ACGGGUGAGUAACACGUGACCAACCUACCCUCAAGUGGGGGAUAACUCGCCGAAAGGCGAGCUAAUACCGCAUAAAACGUAUCUCGGCAUCGGGAAACGUUAGAAGAAGCAAUUCGCUCGAGGACGGGGUCGCGCCCCAUUAGCUAGUUGGUGAGGUAACGGCUCACCAAGGCAUCGAUGGGUAGCUGGUUUGAGAGAGCGACCAGCCACACUGGGACUGAGAAACGGCCCAG